Nannospalax galili (Upper Galilee mountains blind mole rat) is the source of this 741-nucleotide long non-coding RNA. RefSeq lists it as uncharacterized. The record is from RefSeq and is a predicted model, not a curated record. The transcript has 3 exons. NCBI's taxonomy places the organism in Eukaryota, Metazoa, Chordata, Mammalia, Rodentia, Spalacidae.
CUUAGCUCCUGCACUUUGAGAAUGAAAGGAAUUGCAGGAGAGUUCCAUGCACACAGUGCUGAAGAGCUUCCGUAUUCAAUAAAAAUCAGCUACUUGUCUGGUUGCGCGGAUGUAGGAGCCCCUGUUCUUCGGAGGGGGAGGGGAGAAGGCCGGCUUUUCAGCGGCCACACCGCUGGAGUCCUGGGCUACCAGCCGUAACCUUAUCCCUCCGCAAAAAAUCUGCUUCCUACAGCAGGCGUGGGACCGGCGGACCCUGCGCUGCCUGCUAAGAAAAUGAGAGAGGUGUGCUAAGUGGACAGAAGUUGGAGCAGUGUUCAAGAGGGGAACAGCACACAUCUUCCACUCUACAGAGAUGUGUUAAAUGACUGAAUUUUUUUUUCUGUUGACAGAGAUUUUAAGCCUUGGCCAGGGCCUACUGAAGAACUCAGCAGUCUGUGUAUACUAUACAAGGAUUCUACCACUGAGCUACAUCUACAGUGCCUUCCUUUUCAUAGAUGGAUGGAUGCAGACAGACAAACACAGACAAGGAGACCUUGACAGACAGAACUUAAACAUUUUCACCAUUUUAAUGUAUUGAAUAAAAAUUUAUUAGGGGAAGACACACAUGUGUCAUAAAUAUUUAAAGUAUUUAAAAUAAAAGUCCGUCUAAUGUAGCCUUUCUCUAAAAUCUUUCUUGCUCUUUUCUGAACUUAAGGUCAAUUAUUUUAAGACUGAAAAAGUAGUUUGACAUUCAUUUUAUAG